Long non-coding RNA from Oncorhynchus tshawytscha (Chinook salmon), 1025 nucleotides. The record is from Ensembl. Lineage: Eukaryota; Metazoa; Chordata; Actinopteri; Salmoniformes; Salmonidae.
UUCCAGAUCCGCCAGUCAGCCAGACUCUUCCAGAUCCGCCAGUCAGCCAGACUCUUCCAGAUCCGCCAGUCAGCCAGACUCUUCCAGAUCCGCUAGUCAGCCAGACUCUUCCAGAUCCGCCAGUCAACCAGACUCUUCUAGAUCCGCCAGACUCUUCCAGAUCUGCCAGCCAACCAGACUCUUCCAGAUCCGCCAGUCAGCCAGGAUCUGCCAGCUCCGCCAGUCAGCCAGGAUCUGCCAGUCAGCCAGGAUCUGCCAGUCAGCCAGGAUCUGGUAGAUCCAUCAACCUGCCUGAGCUUCCUCUCACUCCCGAGCUUCCUCUCACUCCCGAGCUUCCUCUCACUCCCGAGCUUCCUCUCACUCCCGAGCUUCCCCUCCGUUCCGAGCUGCCCUUCAGUCCCGAUCUGCUCCUCAGUCCAGUGGGGUUCUGGGUGAGGACUACUAGGCCAUGGUCGGCGGCGAGGGUGGAAUAUCCAGGGACGCGAGGAGAGGGGACAAAGACAUUGACUGAGUGGGGUCCACGUCCCGCGCCGGAGCCGCCACCAUGGACAGACGCCCAGCCGGACCCUCCCUAUUGUUUUGAGUUCAUACUGGUGUCUGGAGCUCUACCCCUCUGCCCUAUCAGACGCUCAGAAGUCCAUCCAGCUCGCCCCUGAUUGGCCAAAGGGAUACUUCCUCAAGGAGAGUGCACUGAUGGGGUUAAAGCUGUAUGGUGAGGCAGAAAGGGCCAUGGAUCAGGUGUUAAAGCUGGAUCAGGUCCUCCACUGAGGUCUUCAACUGCAAGGUCCUGCAGAUCAUGAACCUGGGUUUUGAGGAGGGGCAGAGAUUUUUGCAGGACUCCAGUGGUGGAUCUCUCCUCCCCCAGGACUCCAGUGGUGGACCCUCCUCCCUCAUGACUCCAGUGGUGGACCUCUCCUCCCCUCAUGACUCCAGUGGUGGACCUCUCCUCCCCUCAUGACUCCAGUGGUGGACCUCUCCUCCCCUCAGGACUCCAGUGGAGGACCUCUCCUCCCCUCAGGACUCCU